RNAcentral lists this transfer RNA (72 nucleotides) under Bos taurus (domestic cattle). It matches the Rfam family "tRNA". From Rfam's summary of the family: Transfer RNA (tRNA) molecules are approximately 80 nucleotides in length. Their secondary structure includes four short double-helical elements and three loops (D, anti-codon, and T loops). Further hydrogen bonds mediate the characteristic L-shaped molecular structure. tRNAs have two regions of fundamental functional importance: the anti-codon, which is responsible for specific mRNA codon recognition, and the 3' end, to which the tRNAs corresponding amino acid is attached (by aminoacyl-tRNA synthetases). tRNAs cope with the degeneracy of the genetic code in two manners: having more than one tRNA (with a specific anti-codon) for a particular amino acid; and 'wobble' base-pairing, i.e. permitting non-standard base-pairing at the 3rd anti-codon position. The record is from Rfam by way of RNAcentral. RNAcentral also lists the same sequence under 5 other names. Lineage: Eukaryota; Metazoa; Chordata; Mammalia; Artiodactyla; Bovidae.
UCCCUUGUAGCUCAGUUGGUAAAGAAUCUGACUACAAUGCAGGAAACCCAGGUUCAAUACCUGGAUCGGGAA